RNAcentral lists this ribosomal RNA (1262 nucleotides) under Hydrangea phyllody phytoplasma. RNAcentral describes it as "bacterial SSU rRNA". It matches the Rfam family "Bacterial small subunit ribosomal RNA", at positions 60 to 1325 of the family's 1533-position model. The record is from RNAcentral. Lineage: Bacteria; Bacillati; Mycoplasmatota; Mollicutes; Acholeplasmatales; Acholeplasmataceae.
AGUCGAACGGAAGUUUAAGCAAUUAAACUUUAGUGGCGAACGGGUGAGUAACGCGUAAGCAAUCUGCCCCUAAGACGAGGAUAACAGUUGGAAACGACUGCUAAGACUGGAUAGCAGACAAGAAGGCAUCUUCUUGUUUUUAAAAGACCUAUUAAUAGGUAUGCUUAGGGAGGAGCUUGCGUCACAUUAGUUAGUUGGUGGGGUAAAGGCCUACCAAGACUAUGAUGUGUAGCCGGGCUGAGAGGUUGAACGGCCACAUUGGGACUGAGACACGGCCCAAACUCCUACGGGAGGCAGCAGUAGGGAAUUUUCGGCAAUGGAGGAAACUCUGACCGAGCAACGCCGCGUGAACGAUGAAGUAUUUCGGUACGUAAAGUUCUUUUAUUAGGGAAGAAUAAAUGAUGGAAAAAUCAUUCUGACGGUACCUAAUGAAUAAGCCCCGGCUAACUAUGUGCCAGCAGCCGCGGUAAUACAUAGGGGGCAAGCGUUAUCCGGAAUUAUUGGGCGUAAAGGGUGCGUAGGCUGUUAAAUAAGUUUAUGGUCUAAGUGCAAUGCUCAACAUUGUGAUGCUAUAAAAACUGUUUAGCUAGAGUAAGAUAGAGGCAAGUGGAAUUCCAUGUGUAGUGGUAAAAUGCGUAAAUAUAUGGAGGAACACCAGUAGCGAAGGCGGCUUGCUGGGUCUUUACUGACGCUGAGGCACGAAAGCGUGGGGAGCAAACAGGAUUAGAUACCCUGGUAGUCCACGCCGUAAACGAUGAGUACUAAACGUUGGGUAAAACCAGUGUUGAAGUUAACACAUUAAGUACUCCGCCUGAGUAGUACGUACGCAAGUAUGAAACUUAAAGGAAUUGACGGGACUCCGCACAAGCGGUGGAUCAUGUUGUUUAAUUCGAAGGUACCCGAAAAACCUCACCAGGUCUUGACAUGCUUCUGCAAAGCUGUAGAAACACAGUGGAGGUUAUCAGUUGCACAGGUGGUGCAUGGUUGUCGUCAGCUCGUGUCGUGAGAUGUUGGGUUAAGUCCCGCAACGAGCGCAACCCUUAUUGUUAGUUGCCAGCACGUAAUGGUGGGGACUUUAGCAAGACUGCCAGUGAUAAAUUGGAGGAAGGUGGGGACGACGUCAAAUCAUCAUGCCCCUUAUGACCUGGGCUACAAACGUGAUACAAUGGCUGUUACAAAGGGUAGCUGAAACGCAAGUUUUUGGCGAAUCUCAAAAAAACAGUCUCAGUUCGGAUUGAAGUCUGCAACUCGACUUCAUGAAG